AGUUUGAUCCUAGCUCAGAACGAACGCUGGCGGCGCGUUUUAAGCAUGCAAGUCGUGCGGUAAGAAGGAGUAAUCCUUCCUAGAGCGGCGGACUGGUGAGUAACACGUGGGUGACUUACCUUUAGGUUGGGGAUAGCUGAUAGAAAUAUUAGGUAAUACCGAAUGUGAUUAUUAGACUCUAGUCUUUUAAAGAAAGAAGCUUUUGGCUUCGCCUAAAGAUAGGCCUGCGCCUCAUUAGCUAGUUGGUAGUGUAAUGGACUACCAAGGCAAUGAUGAGUAGCCGACCUGAGAGGGUGAACGGCCACACUGGGACUGAGAUACGGCCCAGACUCCUACGGGAGGCAGCAGCUAAGAAUCUUCCGCAAUGGACGAAAGUCUGACGGAGCGACGCCGCGUGAAUGAUGAAGGCCGAAAGGUUGUAAAAUUCUUUUAUCGAUAAGGAAUAAAUGUUUGAGGAAAUGCUUACAUGAUGACGUUAGUCGAUGAAUAAGCCCCGGCUAAUUACGUGCCAGCAGCCGCGGUAAUACGUAAGGGGCAAGCGUUGUUCGGAAUUAUUGGGCGUAAAGAGUGUGUAGGCGGCUUUAUAAGCCUGACGUGAAAUACUAGAGCUUAACUCUAGAACUGCGUUAGGAACUAUAAACCUAGAGUCAUAGAGAGGAAGUUGGAAUUCCAGGUGUAGGGGUGAAAUCUGUAGAUAUCUGGAGGAACACCAGUGGCGAAGGCGAACUUCUAGCUAAUGACUGACGCUGAGACACGAAGGUGCGGGGAGCAAACAGGAUUAGAUACCCUGGUAGUCCGCACAGUAAACGAUGUGCACUAGAUAUUGGAUCAAGAGAUUCAGUAUCGGAGCUAACGCGGUAAGUGCACCGCCUGGGGAGUACACUCGCAAGGGUGAAACUCAAAGGAAUUGACGGGGGCUCGCACAAGCGGUGGAGCAUGUGGUUUAAUUCGAUGGUACGCGAGGAACCUUACCUGGGUUUGACAUCAAGUGGAAUAUAAUAGAGAUAUUAUAGCGUAGUAAUACGUCAUUUGACAGGUGCUGCAUGGCUGUCGUCAGCUCGUGCCGUGAGGUGUUGGGUUAAGUCCCGCAACGAGCGCAACCCUUACUGCCAGUUACUAACAGAAUAAGCUGAGAACUCUGGCGGAACUGCCGGUGGCAAACCGGAGGAAGGUGAGGACGACGUCAAGUCAUCAUGGCCCUUAUGUCCAGGGCUACACACGUGCUACAAUGGUUGGUACAAAGCGCUGCAAAAUCGUAAGAUGUAGCAAAUCGCAUAAAGCCAAUCGUAGUUCGGAUUGAAGUCUGAAACUCGACUUCAUGAAGUUGGAAUCGCUAGUAAUCGCGCAUCAGCUCGGCGCGGUGAAUACGUUCCCGGGCCUUGUACACACCGCCCGUCACACCAUCCGAGUUAGAGAUACCCGAAACCAUUAGUUUAACCGUUAAAGGAUGACGAUGUCUAAGGUGUGUCUGGUAAGGAGGGUGAAGUCGUAACAAGGUA
Molecule: ribosomal RNA, 1499 nt
Filed under: metagenome
Description: bacterial SSU rRNA
Rfam family: Bacterial small subunit ribosomal RNA
Source: RNAcentral